This 494-nucleotide ribosomal RNA is filed under the name uncultured bacterium. Its description in RNAcentral is "partial 16S ribosomal RNA". It matches the Rfam family "Bacterial small subunit ribosomal RNA", at positions 28 to 507 of the family's 1533-position model. The record is from RNAcentral.
GACGAACGCUGGCGGCGCGCUUAACACAUGCAAGUCGAACGGAAAGGCCUGCUUUCCCUUGUGGAUUGCGGGUACUCGAGUGGCGAACGGGUGAGUAACACGUGAGUGAUCUGCCCCCAACUUGGGUAUAAGCCUGGGAAACUGGGUCUAAUUCCCGAUAGGACUGCAGGGUGGUGCCUGUGGUGGAAAACGAUUUUCUAGUGGUUGGGGAUGAGCUCGCGGCCUAUCAGCUUGUCGGUGGGGUAAUGGCCUACCAAGGCGGCGACGGGUAGCCGGCCUGAGAGGGUGGACGGCCACAUUGGGACUGAGAUACGGCCCAGACUCCUACGGGAGGCAGCAGUGGGGAAUAUUGCACAAUGGGCGGAAGCCUGAUGCAGCGACGCCGCGUGGGGGAUGACGGCCUUCGGGUUGUAAACUCCUUUCGACCGCGAGGAAGCCACCUGGUUGGAAGGGUGGUGACGGUAGUGGUAGAAGAAGCACCGGCUAACUACGUG